CCCUUAGAUGUUCGGGGCCGCACGCGCGCUACACUGAUGCAUUCAACGAGUCUAAAACCUGCUCUGAUAGGGGUGGGUAAUCUUUUGAAUGUGCAUCGUGAUUGGGAUAGAUGAUUGCAAUUUUUCAUCUUCAACGAGGAAUGCCUAGUAAACGCAAGUCAUCAGCUUGCAUUGAUUACGUCCCUGCCCUUUGUACACACCGCCCGUCGCUCCUACCGAUUGAAUGAUCCGAUGAAUAUCAUGGAUUGAGGAUGCAAGUAGGUUAGCCUAUCUUCAUCUUCGAGAAGUGAAGUAAAUCUUAUCAUUUAGAGGAAGGAGAAGUCGUAACA
Molecule: ribosomal RNA, 329 nt
Filed under: uncultured eukaryote
Lineage: Eukaryota
Description: partial 18S ribosomal RNA
Rfam family: Eukaryotic small subunit ribosomal RNA
Source: RNAcentral